GACGAACGCUGGCGGCGUGCUUAACACAUGCAAGUCGAACGGAAAGGCCUGUCCUUCCUUGUGUUGGACGGGUACUCGAGUGGCGAACGGGUGAGUAACACGUGAGUGAUCUGCCCCCAACUUGGGUAUAAGCCUGGGAAACUGGGUCUAAUUCCCGAUAGGACUGCAGGGUGGUGCCUGUGGUGGAAAACGAUUUUCUAGUGGUUGGGGAUGAGCUCGCGGCCUAUCAGCUUGUUGGUGGGGUAAUGGCCUACCAAGGCGGCGACGGGUAGCCGGCCUGAGAGGGUGGACGGCCACAUUGGGACUGAGAUACGGCCCAGACUCCUACGGGAGGCAGCAGUGGGGAAUAGUGCACAAUGGGCGGAAGCCUGAUGCAGCGACGCCGCGUGGGGGAUGACGGCCUUCGGGUGGUAAACUCCUUUCGACCGCGAGGAAGCCGCCUGGUUGGAAGGGUGGUGACGGUAGUGGUAGAAGAAGCACCGGCUAACUACGUG
This 494-nucleotide ribosomal RNA is filed under the name uncultured bacterium. RNAcentral describes it as "partial 16S ribosomal RNA". It matches the Rfam family "Bacterial small subunit ribosomal RNA", at positions 28 to 507 of the family's 1533-position model. The record is from RNAcentral.